This 67-nucleotide transfer RNA is filed under the name Camelus bactrianus (Bactrian camel). It matches the Rfam family "tRNA". From Rfam's summary of the family: Transfer RNA (tRNA) molecules are approximately 80 nucleotides in length. Lineage: Eukaryota; Metazoa; Chordata; Mammalia; Artiodactyla; Camelidae. The record is from Rfam by way of RNAcentral. RNAcentral also lists the same sequence under 2 other names.
GAGGUUAUAGCUCAAGUGGUAGAGUGCAUGCUUAGCAUAGUCCUGGGUUCAAUCCCCAGUACCCCCU